GGCCAACGCAAGUAUGGAGGCUGUGAAGGC
This 30-nucleotide non-coding RNA is filed under the name Homo sapiens (human). Lineage: Eukaryota; Metazoa; Chordata; Mammalia; Primates; Hominidae. The record is from RNAcentral.